Molecule: non-coding RNA, 380 nt
Organism: Camelina sativa (false flax)
Lineage: Eukaryota; Viridiplantae; Streptophyta; Magnoliopsida; Brassicales; Brassicaceae
Source: RefSeq, a predicted model, not a curated record
CUUGUUCACUUGCCUGCUCUGAAUGCCCAAUAUGCCGAACCAAAAUCUCUGAUCGCCUGUUCGCGUUCCCGUCUUGACCCACGACAAUAUAAGGUAUCAAGAAGUAUAUGGAAGUCUGUUUGUUUGCUAAAUUUUCCAGAACGGCAGGCUCGGAUUCUUUUAUUAUAUGUUAGCUUUUUUUUAUCUUGUAUGUAAUGUGUUUGUUAUAUCUUUCAAGUUUCAAUUCAAAAAGGUGGUGGUAAAGAAAGAGGAAACACAAGAUGCUAACAGGGAAAAAAAAAAAAUAUCAGAAUGUGUUUAAGGAAGGGUAAAGUAUAUAGACUGACUUCUAUGUUUUUUACUUCAUCUUAUAGCAUAUAAAAAGAUUGAGUUAAUCUGUU